UAUUUUCGUAAUUAACCUCACUCAGUUCUAUUGUUUACACUGCAGACUUGGUGUUGGAGCUGUAGAGGGCAGAAGAUGCAUUCUGAAGUGUGGUUAUGAUAUAUUAGCAUUAAACAACAGAUAUAGGAACAGAAGCUGAGCUGGAUCUGAAGCUGCAGCUGUGAGAUGGGCGUGAGUGCUGCUGAUAUGGUGGUGGCACUGAUGCCUUAGACUGUAGCAGCAUAAGCUGUGACUUUAGAACGCAAGAGAGAGGUUGUGCAAGAGAUGGAAAU
Camellia sinensis is the source of this 272-nucleotide non-coding RNA. NCBI's taxonomy places the organism in Eukaryota, Viridiplantae, Streptophyta, Magnoliopsida, Ericales, Theaceae. The record is from RefSeq and is a predicted model, not a curated record.